GCUGGCGGCAGGCCUACACAUGCAAGUCGAGCGGAAACGAGGUUAACUGACCCUUCGGGUGACGUUAACGGCGUCGAGCGGCGACGGGUGAGUAAUGCCUGGGAAAUUGCCCUGAUGUGGGGGAUAACCAUUGGAAACGAUGGCUAAUACCGCAUAAUGCCUUCGGGCCAAAGAGGGGGGGGACCUUCGGGCCUCUCGCGUCAGGAUAUGCCCAGGUGGGAUUAGCUAGUUGGUGAGGUAAUGGCUCACCAAGGCGACGAACCCUAGCUGGUCUGAGAGGAUGAUCAGCCACACUGGAACUGAGACACGGUCCAGACUCCUACGGGAGGCAGCAGUGGGGAAUAUUGCACAAUGGGCGCAAGCCUGAUGCAGCCAUGCCGCGUGUGUGAAGAAGGCCUUCGGGUUGUAAAGCACUUUCAGCAGUGAGGAAGGCGGGUACGUUAAUAGCGUAUUCGUUUGACGUUAGCUGCAGAAGAAGCACAGGCUAACUCCGUG
This 495-nucleotide ribosomal RNA is filed under the name uncultured bacterium. RNAcentral describes it as "bacterial SSU rRNA". It matches the Rfam family "Bacterial small subunit ribosomal RNA", at positions 35 to 507 of the family's 1533-position model. The record is from RNAcentral.